CGGUUGAUCCUGCCGGAGGUCACUGCUAUUGGGAUUCGACUAAGCCAUGCGAGUCGAGAGGGUUCGGCCCUCGGCUGACGGCUCAGUAACACGUGGAUAAUCUGCCCUUAGGUGGAGGAUAAUCUCGGGAAACUGAGGAUAAUACUCCAUAGAUCUAGGAUGCUGGAAUGCAUCUAGAUUGAAAGCUCCGGCGCCUAAGGAUGAGUCUGCGGACUAUCAGGUUGUAGUCAGGGUAAAGACCUGACUAGCCUACGACGGAUACGGGUUGUGAGAGCAAUAACCCGGAGACGACAUCUGAGACACGAUAUCGGGCCCUACGGGGCGCAGCAGGCGCGAAAACUUCACACUGUGCGAAAGCGCGAUGAGGGAAUCCCAAGUGUUUGCUCGUAAGAGUAAACUGUUUCUUUGUUUAGAACGCAGAGAGAGUAAGGGCUGGGUAAGACGGGUGCCAGCCGCCGCGGUAAUACCUGCAGCUCGAGUGGUGAUCAUUAUUAUUGGGCCUAAAACGUCCGUAGCCGGUUUAGUAAAUGCCUGGGUAAAUCGUGUAGCUUAACUAUACGACUUCUGGGUAGACUGCUAAACUUGAGACCGGGAGAGGCUAGAGGUACUCCUGGGGGUAGAGGUGAAAAUUCUGUAAUCCUAGGGGGACCACCAGUGGCGAAGGCGUCUAGCUAGAACGGAUCUGACGGUGAGGGACGAAGCCCUGGGGCGCGAACCGGAUUAGAUACCCGGGUAGUCCAGGGUGUAAACGCUGCUUGCUUGAUGUUAGUUGGGCUCCGAGCCCAAUUAGUGUCGGAGAGAAGUUGUUAAGCAAGCUGCCUGGGAAGUACGGUCGCAAGACUGAAACUUAAAGGAAUUGGCGGGGGAGCAC
Molecule: ribosomal RNA, 871 nt
Filed under: uncultured archaeon
Lineage: Archaea
Description: bacterial SSU rRNA
Rfam family: Archaeal small subunit ribosomal RNA
Source: RNAcentral